ACGAACGCUGGCGGCAGGCUUAACACAUGCAAGUCGAACGGGUGCAGCAAUGCAUCAGUGGCAGACGGGUGAGUAACACGUGGGAACCUUCCUAGGGGUACGGAACAACUCAGGGAAACUUGAGCUAAUACCGUAUACGUCCGUAAGGAGAAAGAUUCAUCGCCCCUAGACGGGCCCGCGUCGGAUUAGGUAGUUGGUGGGGUAACGGCCUACCAAGCCUACGAUCCGUAGCUGAUCUGAGAGGAUGAUCAGCCACACUGGGACUGAGACACGGCCCAGACUCCUACGGGAGGCAGCAGUGGGGAAUCUUGGACAAUGGGCGCAAGCCUGAUCCAGCCAUGCCGCGUGAGUGAAGAAGGCCUUAGGGUUGUAAAGCUCUUUUACCAGGGACGAUAAUGACGGUACCUGGAGAAUAAGCCCCGGCAAACUUCGUGCCAGCAGCCGCGGUAAUU
Molecule: ribosomal RNA, 452 nt
Filed under: uncultured bacterium
Lineage: Bacteria
Description: bacterial SSU rRNA
Rfam family: Bacterial small subunit ribosomal RNA
Source: RNAcentral